RNAcentral lists this long non-coding RNA (2928 nucleotides) under Daucus carota (carrot). Its description in RNAcentral is "long non-coding RNA (DCAR_LNC001385)". Lineage: Eukaryota; Viridiplantae; Streptophyta; Magnoliopsida; Apiales; Apiaceae. The record is from RNAcentral.
UGGCUAAUUGUGAUAAUAGCAUGUGCUCACACCCUUUUUCUUGUUUUGUGCCACGUAUCAACCCCUCCGUUAAUCUCUCGACCUCACCGUCCACCCAGUGGACCGCUACAUCCCGACACAUCUUUCCGUCUCCAUCUUUCACAUCUCUACUCACCGCACACUUCAUCUUCAUCACCGUUGGGCUCCGCCGGAAUCACCUGCUGCCGCCGCGAGUUUUCACCGCCACUGCCCUUUGUUUCUUCCCAUGCUCGAAGCCAGUCACGAUCCUUCAAUUCUUCUGCCAAUUAACUCCGUUUUCUGACCAGCAGUCCACCCCAUCUUUGAUUAUUCCGAUUGGGUAUAUCUCGAAUUUUCUCCUCUAUUAGUUAUGUGUGUAUGUAUAUGUGUAGAACUGAUUGUGUGAUGUCUAUUGCUGUGAAUUAGUAAAUUUUAAUUCAAAUCAGAUUACACACAAAUAUAUGCAGUUAUAUGGGUUGUGUUAAUUAUAAUAUUUGUUAAUUGCAAGGGUUGUGUGGUAUUAAACUGAAUAGUUUAGUAUGGCUUAUUGUUGUGUACUUGAAUUAACAAGAGUAUAUGACCGGGUAUCAAACUUUUUGAUUUGAGAAUAUAUGUAUAAGUAUGUUGCUUGUUUAUAUGUUAUUGGAAGGAUAGUUUAAGAGUUUAAAUAGUGGAUUAAAGAUUUAGAAUUAUACAUAAUCAAGUCGAAGUUUUUAGACUGCUGCUGGGCUGUUUUUGAAGCACAGUUCUGGGCUUAUUGAGUCAAGUUUUAUGUUUAAUAUUUCUGUGAUAAAAGUCUCCUUGAUGUCUAGUUUAUGUGCGCGAAAGAAUCGAAUCGAUUCGAUUAGCGAGCUAGGAGAUAUGACAGUGUUUUAGUAUGGUAUGUGCAGAGUACAAAACUGCUUCGUUUUUCGACCUUCUAAACUAAAGUUUAAUUACUUAAACUUUGAUUUCCAAGCCAAAACUUAUUUUGUAGCUACUCAGGGAGUUUAGGGAGGUCUUACAAAAAUUCAAGUGAAAAACUUGUAUUUUUGAUUUAUUAAAAAUGUUUGAAUGUCGGCAGCGCAAACUUGUGAAAAAAUUCUGUUUUGAUGUCACAAAGAGAAUUUUUGUUUUUACAAGUUUAAAUCUAUGAGUUGGGUUUGAAAUUUCUAUGACCUCUGCGUAUAAGAUUUAUAAAGAUCUCGGAGGUAUAUUUUGUUAAAAAGUUGAAUUAUUGACUUAUAAUUUAGCUAUGAUUUCAGAGUUUGCUAAUUAUUUAAAUUCAGUCAAUGAGUAAUGGUUGAUGUUAUUUGAUUGGUAUAUUGAGUUGAUUACUUGUUGAAUAGUAUAGGGAAACAGGUGGAUAGUCCGAUAAACAGGGGAGAUGCUGCCGAAUUUUCGAUAGAAAUUAUAUAUGUUUUACUUGUUGGAGGAUAUUAAGUAGUUAAGAAUAAGGUAACAUGGUUGAUUGAAACAUGUUAUUUGUUAAUUUAUCAAUAUUGACUUUUAAUAGCUAUAAAAGUUAAUUGUUCAACUAUGUGCUAUGUGUUUAUUUGACUGUAGUAUGCAUAUGGAUUUACGAAGGGUAGCUAAUUACGGAUUUUAUACGUUAUUCGAUAUUAGUUAACUUCAUCGGCAUCGACAACUGAAGUACCGUGUCACUCUUGGAGAAUCAACCGAGACUUGUCUAUCAAGGACAUUCAGAAGUAGUUAAAUAGCUUUGCGAAUUGAAUGAGGAAUAGUUCAUUAAGAUGAAGCUGUGCUGUGAGAUAGUCUAGUAGAAUUAAAUCGGUAUGAAAAUCAGCAGAACUGAGGCAAGUAUCCCUAUCUCCACUUAUUGUUCAAGUGAGAUAUUUUGUUCAAUCAUGAUAUUGAUGGAUUUAUUUCUCUCAAGCUUUCUUGCAAGUAAUUCUAUUCUCUAACUUAUAAUUACUGCAAGUAUUCCUAUUCAAAUUCUAUAUUUAGAAGCAAGCGCUCUUUCCUUGAAACUUUUAUUUAUUACAAAUGCACGACUUAAGUACGAUUUUGAGUUGGAAAGAGUAACUUACCAAAUUGAUACACAUGGUUUCAAAAUCUCUAUAAAUGAUUUUCAUAACUCGGUUUAGUUCCUCGGUUGUAAGACUUAUCCGUUGUAAUUAUACUUCCUCUGGAAUAAACCUUUUCUUAAAAAUGCAAUUCUUUAGAACUGGGAAGUAAAAACUCAGAUAUAAUUGGAGUUGCGUACGAGGACCGUUAUUUGGUAACGGCCCAGCCUAUUUGUUUGCGUAAGAGGACCAUUGUAAGGCAAUGGCCCAGCGUUAUUUGAAGACCUAGCUAGUCUUCAGUUCCGGAACAUGUUAUUUCAGGGCAAUGCGUAACCAUUGUCCAAGUUACUGUAGACUGAUCAUCUAAGUGACUAUUAACGUCCAAUAUAUCUGAAUGCUUUGGAAAUUAUAUGUACUUUUGAAUUGUUUUGGUUUCAAGUUAAAAGCAUGUUGUUUUGUAUACUUUCAGUUCAAUUAUUUUUUCUGCUUUAACUCCUGUUUCUUUUUAACUAUUACACUUGCUGGGCAUUCUUUUGCUCAUUCUUGCUAUUUCUUCUAACCCCUUUCAGAUAGUGUUAAAGAUGAUUCAUAUGUCUAGGCUGCGCGUAAGAAUAAUGCUAGGCAAGGAUUUCAAGUGAUUAGUUUUAACUGAAUGAUCAGGUAAAGUAUUCAGGAAGAUGUCUGCGAGAUUAGUGGUAAUUAGAGUUGGCUUAAUUUCGCUUCAAAUGUAAAAUAAAUUUAUUAAAUAUUAUCAGCUACUCUGAUAAUUUAGAUUGUGUUGUAAUAAGAUUUAUUAGUUGAUUUUUCCGAUUUCAAUACUAAAGCCUGUAUGCGAUCCUGUUUUCAGGGGGUGAAAUUGAGUUUUAAUUUAAAUCAUUUUUUUUAUUUUAUAUCCAGGUUUUGGUUUUGAAAUAUUUAUUUUUGC